GGUAAUAAUGUAUUUACGGGACCAAGUUCCUGACUGGUCUGUAAGCUUCCAGAAAACAGACUCAGGCCUCUCUGCAUCCCUAGGACCAGCACUAGAAAAGAAGGUAUUGAAUGAAUGUCUUCUGUGCCCUUUACUGCCUGUUUUCAAGCACCAUCCCGCUUCACCAAGGAAGGAACUGGAAGCAUUUCCUCCCAGGCAACAAGAAAGAAGAAACCUCAAAGACCACUCCCUGGUUUGAAGUCUCCAAGACAAAAGCUGAUCGAAGUCAGGAGAAAGAUCCAGUUUUGGAAAGAAGAGGAACAUUCUGAAUACACUAAAUUUUAGCUGAAAACGGAAAAACCAUCCAGCAUUAAUUCAUUCAUUCCAUAUUCACUGCGUGUCUAUUAGAGCAUCUGCACUCAGAGAGUUCACUCUCUGGUAGAAAAGCCUAAUCAACAAGACGAAAAGAAAGCCACAGUGUCAACACAGGUCAGCGUUAAAGGUAGUCCCUCUGGGAGUGAAACCAAGAAACACGACAAUUACAGUAUAAAUGAAUCCUACAUUCAGUAGGCACUAAGAGUAGGCUGAAUGACACUGAAAUAAAAGCUAUUUUUAAAUAGAGAGCUAACUUCAAGAUGCAUUUUUUAUAACUAAAGCAG
This is a long non-coding RNA of Callorhinus ursinus (northern fur seal), 638 nucleotides long. RefSeq lists it as uncharacterized. Lineage: Eukaryota; Metazoa; Chordata; Mammalia; Carnivora; Otariidae. The record is from RefSeq and is a predicted model, not a curated record.